Molecule: ribosomal RNA, 468 nt
Filed under: uncultured bacterium
Lineage: Bacteria
Description: partial 16S ribosomal RNA
Rfam family: Bacterial small subunit ribosomal RNA
Source: RNAcentral
GACGAACGCUGGCGGCGUGCUUAACACAUGCAAGUCGAACGGAAAGGCCCUGCUGUUGUGGGGUGCUCGAGUGGCGAACGGGUGAGUAACAAGUGAGUAACCUGCCCUGGACUUUGGGAUAACUUCAGGAAACUGGGGCUAAUAACGGAUAGGAGCUCCUGCUGCAUGGUGGGGGUUGGAAAGUUUCGGCGGUUGGGGAUGGACUUGCGGCUGAUCAGCUUGUUGGUGGGGUAGUGGCUUACCAAGGCUUUGACGGGUAGCCGGCCUGAGAGGGUGACCGGCCACAUUGGGACUGAGAUACGGACCAGACUCCUACGGGAGGCAGCAGUGGGGAAUAUUGCACAAUGGGCGGAAGCGUGAUGCAGAAACGCCGCGUGCGGGAUGACGGCCUUCGGGUUGUAAACCGCUUUCGCCUGUGACGAAGCGUGAGUGACGGUAAUGGGUAAAGAAGCACCGGCUAACUACGUG